Long non-coding RNA from Polyodon spathula (Mississippi paddlefish), 1387 nucleotides. RefSeq lists it as uncharacterized. Lineage: Eukaryota; Metazoa; Chordata; Actinopteri; Acipenseriformes; Polyodontidae. The record is from RefSeq and is a predicted model, not a curated record. The transcript is spliced from 3 exons.
UUGUAUAUGUGUACGCGGGAACACGUGCGUGACUUGGUGUGAUGUUAAAAGCAUUUUAAUUUGUAACUGUGUUUAAUUAUAGCACAUAUGAUUUGAUGACAGGAACCAUCUUCAUGGAUGGUAAUACUGAGAUAACCUCCAUAGACAACCUGUAAUGCUUUAAAGAGAGAGAGAGAGAGAGAGCAGUUUAGACAGUCUUUGAGAACAAUGAAGUGUUAGUUGGUUUUUUGCAACAAAAUUAUGACUGUGGCAGACUGACCCAGGGACAGGAGUUUCCGGAUGAUUUUGAGUUUGUUUUCUUUCUCUGCGCAUACAAAGAUAUUUGUGGACAAACCCGUGUUCUCUGGGAGCUCUCCAAGCAGAUUCAGUGGAUUGGUAUCUGCAAGUCUCAUUGAGGACAGAAGACCUCAGAAGAUCACCCAGGAGCUGCUCACAUUUAUGAUGAAAACGCAUUUUCGUAAGUGAUCAGACUCCUUCAGCUCUAUGUGAUCCUCCCAGUAACAACGUCUGAGGAAGCAUUCGCUUGCUUAGGAAGGAUCAAAGCCUAUCUGAGGAUGUGGCCCAGGUUCAAGGAGGACUGCUGCCUUCCUUGGCAAAUGUUUUGAUUACGAAGGACCUGGUGCAACAGCUACAUGAUACAGGGGGCCUUUAUACAUGUGUGACAGAAAGGCUUGCUGCACUGGGAGACCACCAUGUCGAUUUAGUGUUUCAGUAAGCAGAAACAUAAUUCUGUAUUCAGAGAGCCAAUUGGCUGGGCUUGAAGCUUAUUGAGAACAGCGUUCCUAGCAACAGCUUGUGUUUGCCUUCCAACAGCUCUGUAGGAAGCUGUACCAAAAGGGAAAGACGACUGUGUUCAGUUCAGCAGUAUUGUACAUAUGUAUCCAAGGCCGUCUGCAGUUGGGGGAUGAGGCCGGUGCUUGUAUUCUAGAUUUGUUUUUUGACAAAACAAGAAAAGAUAGAGAACAUAUGUUACAUUACCCAUGUUUAUGGGCAUUACACAUUUAUGGGAGUAAUAGCCUUUUUCACAAAACUCCUUAUUCCUUACUGUUUUGAUAAAAUAAACAAAGUUUUACAAAAAUAUGAUCCCUUGGCAACUCUUUACUGUAACUACAAUCAUACACACUUUACUUGGACCAUAAACUAUACGGGUCAAUUGCAGCGCACCAGUGAUUCAGUUCUCAUCAAGUGGACUAAAAUGCAGACUGGAAAACCAUGCAUAUCCAUACUGACUUAAUCCUGAUUACAGCGCAUCAAACAGAUGAUCCUGGUAAGUGGUUUAACUGAUCGGAACAAGUGGAACAAGUUAGACAAAUAAUAAGGACUAACAACCAACAGCUAUGGCCAAAAGGAUCGCAUCACCCUAUAGAAUUAACUAAUAUUGCUUCAU